Molecule: long non-coding RNA, 5599 nt
Organism: Pipra filicauda (Wire-tailed manakin)
Lineage: Eukaryota; Metazoa; Chordata; Aves; Passeriformes; Pipridae
Exons: 4
Source: RefSeq, a predicted model, not a curated record
GACGAGACCCCCGAGGGUCUCCGCGCAGAUACCCACCGCCCCCUCCCGACCCUGCCCGGGGGCCACGACGAGGGUGGAGGCUCGGCCGCCCCGGCCCCUCCCGCGGCCCCGGCCCCGGUCCCGCUCCCCGCCCGCCCGGCCCGGGAUGCCGCGGCCGCCGCCGGGUCCCGUCCCCGCCCGCGGCCCCUCUCACCAACCGCCUGCGGGAGCAGCGCUCCCUCCGCGGGCACAGCGGUGCAGGGACGGAGGCAGGGAAGAGGAGACGGAGAGAAAGCGAGAGGCAACCGCUCCCUGGGGCCGACCCAACCCGGACGCACAUCCCGGCUCCCCCGCCCGGAAACGCCGUCAGGACCGGGGGCGCCGCUCGGGGAGGUGCCUGCCCGCUGCCUCCGCCCCCGCGGCGGCGAGACCCCCGCCGGGUGGGGGUUGGUCGGGAGGCUCCUGCCAGGGGUUUGCGGUAGGGUCGUUGUCCGCCUGAGUCGGGCUUGAAGCGAGGGAGAGGUUGCUUUUUCGUCUGGGUUCCUGAGGAAAGAUACGGGCAAGGCUGAUCUUCCCGGCCCCUGCCUGCAUUCGUCCUUGUUCCACUCCCUAUCCGCCGGCCUUCCUCACCUCGUCCUUCACGGAAAACAGUGUGAUCAGCCACAGGCUUUCUUUAGGCCAUCAAUGAGGGCAGCUGCCGUUCCUGUGUAGCUUUUUUUGACCAAGGUGUGCCCAUCAUCGUGGCACAUGGUCUGCCAGCUCCCAGGUUUUAUAUAAAACAGGGUAUGAUAGAUGUCAAGUAUUCCAGGCAGACUGUUCCCCCUUCUCUCCGUUGACUGGAAAAGGAGCCUGUGGCCACAGCUGUAUAAGAACCUCUACUGAAAGUUGAAGAAAAAAUAUACGACUCAAUCACAGGAACAUUUAGUACUGUCAGGAGACUGCACCAGAAAGGUGCUGCUGUUCCCUACUUGGUCUAUGCCUACAUUUGGAGGAGCAGAGGGCUGGAAGGUGGGAGCUCUGCUUCUCUUCCUGGGACACUGAACUCCUUGGAUGGCAAGGCUGAGGUGGAGCCAUGAUAAAGAAGAGAGUCUAGAUUGUUUCACCUGCGACUGCUGAAUGGGAAGUGCCUGGAGAUGCAGAAUAAGCAGGUUAGUAAGUGUGAUGCUGGUGAAAAGAAAUGUGGGAAGAAAUAGGACUGGCUGUGGGGAGGGCACAAAGUGAACUAUGGUGACAUUAUUCAGGACACCAGGCUGGUUGGUGAUGGGGUUACUACUAUCACUCCAACUACUGCAUUACUGCUGCCUACAAGUGAGGAAAACCUGCACAUAUUUGGAACUGGGGAAUCUCUGCAGACAGUGACACAAGUGCUACCUAUGCAGAAGACAGAGAGCAGGAAGGAAAUACAGGGACACACGCGCGCACACACCUAUGACAACCCACACAGAUGGGACCGGAGUGGAAAUGAACAUUAUGAGUUCCUGGGGCCCAGAAGCUGUCAGAGUGGACUGAGUUGUUCUAAGUGAACAGGAAUGGCAGAUGAAGUGAUUUAGGAGGUAGGGAUGGCAGUGUAACCAGCAUACUGCUGAGGACACCUGUGACUGUCUCUCCCUUUUUGAGACUGCCUGCUCUGUACUCCUCUCCUACAGCUUUGACUUUCUCAUUGCUCUGUGUAGAAUUUUCAGGCUGCCAUGGUAUUCAAAGCAAAACCAAGAUUUUCACAGGCCUCUAGAUAAAUUAACACUCUUGGUUAUUCCCUGAGUGUAUCAUCUCUUCCCUUCUGCAAGGUAAUGAGAUCAGUCACCAUUGGAUGGGAACGCAGAGGCUGUUAUACCUAAUACAUAAAUAUAUUUAGUUUAUAGUAAGAAGGUGGCUCAAGAAUUGGCUAGUAUGUUUAUUAACCAUCUUCGUCUCAUAUAUCUUGCUGAGGCAACUUCCAAUUAGUUUGGAAUUUUUCUUACACAGGGAAUGUAGAUGUUACCUCUUAUGCUGGUAUCUAUUCCGAAUGGGGAAGAGGACCUAGGGAGACAUUUUUCCCCUAAUUUGCAAAAAUACUUAAGUUUCCACUUCUAAGCAUCACUUACAUUUGAAAAAGACCAAAAAACCCAAACAAACUUGAGGUAAACAAAGGGAAAACAAAUCAGCUACCUACCCAUCUAAAUUUAGGCAGGCUAGAUGUCCUUUCGGAGGCCAGCAGGAUACGUACCUCUUUUCAAGGAUUCCAUGGGAAACUAUUUCCUUUAAAGAAGAGCUAAAAGGUAGGUGUAGGCUUAGUGUCUAGAUUAGGCAGACUGGAUCCCACCCUGAUGUUUAUUUUGGAGGUUUUCACUUGUAAUGGUGUAAGUGCUCAGAGAAGUCUAACACAGAGAUUUAUUAGCAACUGGAAGGCAGUUGGCUACUUACUAUUAGGAUGGAAUUUUGCAGACUGUUUUACGCAGUGACUGGGUAUUUGAACACUCAGUGUGUGUCAGGAUGAACAGGACAUUUUUUCAUGCUCAAGUCAUAGGCUUAAAACAGGAGAUCUGCUAAAAAAUGGCCAAGUUUGUAUUAUACAAUACCCCUAAUUAAAGGCCAAAAGGGCUGAACAAAAUCCUUCAACUGCAGUGGUUGGAUUUCUUUUAACUGAGAAAGAAUAAUAUUUAAAAUUUUUCAGACAAUAAGACAUUUUCCUUGCAAAAAUACUUUAAACUUUAUUUUUUGCAUUAUUCUGAAUGCUGACAAAUAAUUCCUCAUAUGAUUAAAAAAAUUCUAGAUACAUAGCUAUGUCUAGUUUUUAUGUUGGAUAGCAAUACUUUUGGAGUUAAUGAAAUCUUUCGAUCACCUACAGAUUACUUGAUAAGAAAACAUCCUUUUCUUUAAUGCUAUACAGGUAGAAAUUUAAUCAUUCUCAGGAUAGUAUUAGAACUGCAAUAAAUUUUAAAUGUUAUAUUUAACAAAAGCAUUUACUUCUUGUAAAUUAGUUUAGUGGUAAUAAUUUCCAAGAAAAGAAAACAUCAAUACCCCUACAGAUAGAGAGACUGAAAAUUUUUUUGUGUUUCAGAAACUCCCAAUUUAAAUACGAUAAAAAUAGACAUAGUAGGAAAAAGAAGGAGAUCCUUAUGCAGCAGAAUAAAUUAAGUCUGCAAAUGAAUUCUAUUUUAUUAGUCUUGAUUCUUGAUAGUUCAAACCUUCCCCUGUCGGUCUGAAGACGAUGGAGCAGUGGCUGAGCUCAAGCUGUAUUUACACUGACUGGCCAGGAUGUUUGUGUUAACUGUCUGAUUGCUGCUGCUCCACACACCAAAGAGGCCAAGUUGUGCUUUUCUUUCCCAUGAAUCUCCCUCUCUUUUCUUUGCUCAGGCUCUAAUUUCUCAAAUUUGUGAGUACAUCUUAUUUUUGAUGCUUCAACCUCUCUCUUUAACAUUGAUUUGAUGCUCAAAAAUUAUCAGAGAAAGAUUACCAAGAGAAAAAAACACCAGGUCACUUCCCUCCUCCCUGCCCUGAGCCCCACCAUGGCAGGCAAAAUUAUUUCAUGCACAUGGAGCAUUUUGUAAUGGAGUACAAGAGUGACAUCCUUUUGGAGAAGCCUAGUGCAGGGAAAUGGCAGAUUUUGCCUUGAUAUGUACACUGAAAAAUUAUGCUAAGGGAUCAAAAAUGAUAAAUAGCAGGAGAAGGAUGCAGUGAGCAUAUUUGCUAUAGCAGCCUGAACAUACUGAAGAAGAUGCAUGCAGUGAGGGGUAGAGGUGGAUGAUAGAUCUGCCUGUCAGGAUAAAUAUAAGAAGGUUGGGAAGAUAUAUCUAGAUUUUCUCUGCCUCUGCACUAGGGUCUUGGACAGGGGAUUUGGGAAAUAAAUCCAGGAUUCAAAAGCCCUGAGUAAGGGGAGCCAGAGAGAUUUAGAGUGUCACAAGGGAUGCGACUAUCGUUACUCCCCACUUAAAUAAAUUAACACUGAGAGUGUAUUACAACUAAAGUAGCCCCUGAACCUCUCUUCACUGAAUGAUUCAUGCUUUACUCACUUCAGAGCCUGCAGGAAUUUAAAGGCCAGCUCAGAACAUUUACCCUGCUAUUUAUAGUAAGUACAGAAGUAUCUGUGCAUUGUGGUCAGAAAAAAGUCUCAGUAUAAUCCAGAUGUCAAACAUUUAAAGAAGUAAUAAAAAGCAUGGAGAACUGCAAAAGAGAAAAAAGAAAAGAGAAGUUGUGCUAGAAAUGACAUAAAUGCACUAAAAGUGUAAGCUUGUUAAGAUUUCUGAAAAAGUCAGAUCAGUAAAGGAAUAGAGUUAAUAGAGGGGAAAAUAUGUAAAUAAAUAUUUUGUAUAAGCAAAAGAACAAUUAUUCAAGAAGAACAUUUUAAGAGGUGAAAACAUAAAAAAAAACAAGUAAUGAAGACAAUAUAUCUCAAGACAGAAUUACAUGAGAAUUCAGUCAGGCAGUAAAUAGGAUUGUCAAGUAACAGUAAGAGCUGAAAGUGAGCCAGAAGCAGAGAAGGGACAUUUUGUACUCAUCUCUGCUAUCCACAGAGAUCCAAACAUCCCAGACAUGAUGGAUGAAGGGGACAGCUUGAAAGAGAGACUAGAUACCAGCAUCACCAUAUUUACCCUUUUAUUAGCAGAUAUAGUUAUGCAAAUAGAGAACAACUGGGCUCUAACAGAUUAGCAUUGGACACUCUGCGAGUUAAUAUAGCAAAUAUAUAACAAAAAUAUAACAAAAGUGAGAGUAGCAACUGUGCAAUGAUAUAUAUUUAAUGCAAGUAAGGAUUUUGCAUGUGUGUGUGUGGACACAGGCAGGCUGCUGGAAGAACCACAAAACCAUGGCUGAAAUAAAAAAAGAAAAUUUAUUUCAUUACCUUGCUAACUGGAGGAUCCCAGCUCAAUCCAUGCUGGUGGGCAUCAGGAUUGCUGUUUGCCCCAAUUUAUCAAGGUCCCACACACGCAUAGUUUACCAUUAUGCUGUGAUCUCCCCUGAGCUUUUUAAUGAUCUUUAAGCUUUAAUCUUUCCUGAAACAGGGAGCUCAAACAUGUCCAUGAGACUGCCUCAAAGUCUCUCAAAACACCUACAUUAUCUCUACACAGAAAUCUUCUCAAAACAGAGACAGAAUAAGCAGCAGUAGGCACAAUAUAUGGGGUUUCCCACACUGUUAUUCUCCAGGCUUUGGCAUUCCCAGCUUCAAGGUCACCUGAGCAAAUCUACCAUCCUCCUCCUCAUUUUCCCACUUUUAACCCUUUGCUCCCAACACUGUGUUAAUUAAGUAGCAGAACAUUUUGGGGUAUGCUAAAUUGGACUGUGUUUGGAUGGGAUGAUUGGGACAGUUUGACAGCUGACCAUAUGGAUGUUGUUGUAAAACAUUUGUGAGGUGGGUUUUUACAAAAUCAAUAAUUAUCUUAAAAAUACUUAAAAAAUCAGCCCCUACUGGUAAUGUUACUGUGGGAGUGAUGAAAAUAUACUUUAAAAAAAAGUAGCCAAAAUGCUAUAGUGAGAAGUAUUACUAUCUGUAGGUGUCAAUAAAUGCAUCAGUAAGAAGGUUUGAAGUACUAAAUUUGGGGAGUUUUAUCAAGGUGAUAAAUUUUCACUUUUUUUUCCUAUUUUCUUUUCCCAAUAUUUUUUGGUGUGUGUGACAAGGUAAGGUCUUGCAUUGUAAGAUUCAUUUAAG